Molecule: long non-coding RNA, 484 nt
Organism: Homo sapiens (human)
Lineage: Eukaryota; Metazoa; Chordata; Mammalia; Primates; Hominidae
Exons: 2
Source: RefSeq, a predicted model, not a curated record
AGGAACGGGUACUGAGGUUUUAAUGAACUCAUUACUCAUUCCACUGUCAGGUGAAGCCUAAGUCUCCUCCCCUUGAAUGUGAGCUGAACUUAAUGACUUGAUUAUAAUGAAGAGAAUGUGACAGAAGCAGUGGUGUGUGAUGGUGCAGAUCAUGAAAAGUAUUUGACUUUCUCCUUGCUCUCUCUGAAGCACUCACUCUGUGGGGGAGGCCAGCUUUCAUGUCAUGAGGACACUCAAGUAGCCCUCUGGAGAGGCUCUCAUGGUGAGGAACUAAGGCGUUCUACCAAUAACCAUGCAGUGUGCCAUCUUGGAAGCAGAUCUUCCAGCACCAGUCCAACCUUCAGAUGACUGCAGCCCAGGCCAACAUCUUGACUGCAACUUCAAGAAAGACCCCAAGCCAUAACCACUCAGCUAAGCCAUUUCCAAUUCCUGAUUCUCAAAACCUGUAUGAGAUAAUAAAAUUGUUUGUUGUUGUUUUAACCCA